UGGGGAAUAUUGCACAAUGGGGGAAACCCUGAUGCAGCGACGCCGCGUGAACGAAGAAGGUAUUCGUAUCGUAAAGUUCUGUCCUAUGGGAAGAUAAUGACAGUACCAUAGAAGAAAGCUCCGGCUAAAUACGUGCCAGCAGCCGCGGUAAUACGUAUGGAGCGAGCGUUGUCCGGAAUUAUUGGGCGUAAAGGGUACGCAGGCGGUUUAAUAAGUCGAAUGUUAAAGAUCGGGGCUCAACCCCGUAAAGCAUUGGAAACUGAUAAACUGGAGUAGUGGAGAGGAAAGUGGAAUUCCUAGUGUAGUGGUGAAAUACGUAGAUAUUAGGAGGAAUACCAGUAGCGAAGGCGACUUUCUGGACACAAACUGACGCUGAGGUACGAAAGCGUGGGGAGCAAACAGG
This 403-nucleotide ribosomal RNA is filed under the name bacterium. Its description in RNAcentral is "partial 16S ribosomal RNA". It matches the Rfam family "Bacterial small subunit ribosomal RNA", at positions 355 to 776 of the family's 1533-position model. The record is from RNAcentral. RNAcentral also lists the same sequence under 1 other name.